AGCCUGAUCCAGCAAUGCCGCGUGAGUGAAGAAGGCCUUCGGGUUGUAAAGCUCUUUUGUCAGGGAAGAAAAGGCUGUGGCUAAUAUCUACGGCUCAUGACGGUACCUGAAGAAUAAGCACCGGCUAACUACGUGCCAGCAGCCGCGGUAAUACGUAGGGUGCAAGCGUUAAUCGGAAUUACUGGGCGUAAAGCGUGCGCAGGCGGUUUUGUAAGACUGUCGUGAAAUCCCCGGGCUCAACCUGGGAAUGGCGAUGGUGACUGCAAGGCUAGAGUUUGGCAGAGGGGGGUAGAAUUCCACGUGUAGCAGUGAAAUGCGUAGAUAUGUGGAGGAACACCGAUGGCGAAGGCAGCCCCCUGGGUCAAAACUGACGCUCAUGCACGAAAGCGUGGGGAGCAAACAGGAUUAGAUACCCUGGUAGUCCACGCCCUAAACGAUGUCUACUAGUUGUCGGGUCUUAAUUGACUUGGUAACGCAGCUAACGCGUGAAGUAGACCGCCUGGGGAGUACGGUCGCAAGAUUAAAACUCAAAGGAAUUGACGGGGACCCGCACAAGCGGUGGAUGAUGUGGAUUAAUUCGAUGCAACGCGAAAAACCUUACCUACCCUUGACAUGGAUGGAAUCCUUGAGAGA
Molecule: ribosomal RNA, 633 nt
Filed under: Duganella sp. Se2Ps_2377
Lineage: Bacteria; Pseudomonadati; Pseudomonadota; Betaproteobacteria; Burkholderiales; Oxalobacteraceae
Description: bacterial SSU rRNA
Rfam family: Bacterial small subunit ribosomal RNA
Source: RNAcentral